CAUAAAUGUAUGACUCUAGAACUUUUAUACCGUGAGGCCAAACUUGGCAUGUGAUACCUUUACGGAAAGCCCAAAGAGAGCUCUCCGAUGAAUUAGGAAGGAAAAUGGAAUUCUUCUAUAGUUUUGUUUUCUACUCCAAAUUUUGACCUUAAUGUACUUUUUCGGGCCUUUUCGUAAUCUUUGCUAUAUUACGGGGCAAAAAUUAUAUGUACGGACAUUGUUUUCGUAUAUUUUGUAUGUAUCAAAGCUCUUAUAAACAAGAUAGGGUAUUCCUACAUAGCUGAAGGGACCCGCGUCAAAUCGAUCAUAAAGUCUUCAAAAAAGAAUAGAUACAAUUGCAUUGCAUGUAGUUACGGAUGCGAUCAUACCAGCACUAAUGCACCAGAUCCCAUCAGAACUCUAUAGUUAAGCGUGCUUGGGGUAGAGUAGUACUAGGAUGGGUGAUCUCCAAGAAAGUCCUCGUGUGUCAUCCCUCUUUUUGUUUUGUUAAAAAUGUAUGACUCUAUAACUUUAACACCGUGAGGCCAAACUUAACAUGUGAUACCUUUUCGGAAAGCCCAAAGAGAGCUCUCCGAUGAAUGAGGAAGGAAAAUGGAAUUCUUCUAUUGGUUUUUUUUCUUCUCCAAAUUUUGAUUUUAAUGUACUUUUUUGAGCCUUUUCGUGAUCUUUGCUAUAUUACGGGGCCAAAAUUAUAUGUUCGGACAUUAUUUUCGAAUAUUUUGCAUGUAUCAAAACUCUUAUAAACAAGAUAGGGUAUUCCUACAUAGCUGGUGGGACCCACGGCAAAUGGAUCAUAAAGUCUUCAAAAAAGAAUAUAUACAAUUGCAUUGCAUGUAGUAACGGAUGCGAUCAUACCAGCACUAAUGCACUAGAUCCCAUCAGAACUCUGUAGUUAAGCGUGCUUGGGGGAGAGUAGUACUAGGAUGGGUGACCUCCUGGAAAGUUCUCGUGUUGCAUCCCUCUUUUUUUCGGUUUUUCUCUUUUUUUU
This 988-nucleotide small RNA is filed under the name Arabidopsis thaliana (thale cress). Lineage: Eukaryota; Viridiplantae; Streptophyta; Magnoliopsida; Brassicales; Brassicaceae. The record is from RNAcentral.